Molecule: microRNA precursor, 70 nt
Organism: Gorilla gorilla gorilla (western lowland gorilla)
Lineage: Eukaryota; Metazoa; Chordata; Mammalia; Primates; Hominidae
Source: Ensembl
GGAGGGAAGAAUAGGAAGGACUCUGUAUUGUGGUUCAGUACCAUGCAAAGUCCUUCCUAUUUUUCCCUCC